Molecule: non-coding RNA, 1753 nt
Organism: Dermacentor albipictus
Lineage: Eukaryota; Metazoa; Arthropoda; Arachnida; Ixodida; Ixodidae
Source: RefSeq, a predicted model, not a curated record
CUCCAGCAAUUCAUGCGACACCUAGCGGCAGUAGGGAGAAACGAAAUACAGAGGUCCAGUCGCCGUGUGUGCCGUGGAGGCUGCUGUCGCGGACGGAAGAAUGAAGCUGCUAGCAAAGAAAAAGCGAACGGCCAAGCAGUUCUGCUGUGUUCCUCGGUGCGUGCCAGCGAGAUGGAAGGACCGCGAUAUUUCCGUUCACGCACUUCCCUCCGAGUGGAAAGGCUGAAGCCGCAGAACCAGGUGGAUCGCUAACCUCCGCUUCGGCAAGGCUGUGACGCUUACAGUGACUGUUUGCUCACGGCAUUUUGCACGGGAUAAUUUCUCCUUACCAGAUGUAGCAUGUCAAAGACAGCGGCUGAAAAAAAUGCAAUACCAACUGAAAACCUGCCAAGGACGUCAUGUUAUGAUGAGAACAAGGAUGCUCAUAUGAAAGAGCUUUCACUGGCAAGACUUCGCUGACGUGUGUAUCGGUCAGCCAGAGUAAGUUAAUUUGACUACAUGGUGCAGCACUUAUAUGCUUAUGGUACAUACACCAUGUCUACAAGCAUGCAAUAGAUGUCAACACCUUUUAAUGCAUUACAGAAUGAAUCAAGCAAAGAAACUGUUGCCUCCCCAUUAGAAGCAAAGGUGUUGCCCCAUGCACCUGUCAGCACGACCACCAUGGUAAAUUGGCUGCCUGCAACUUGUGCACACAUUGCUUCACCACUAAUUCCUUGGGAUUAAACUCUGACAUUGCAGGACGAUCUCCCAUCCCGUCACCGCAACAGCAUGGACCAAAUAAGUGACAAAGGAAAUAUGGAAUGUGCUUGCCAACCUGGCCUCCAGACAUUAAUGGCAGAGUACUCAAGAGAAGAAAAAGACGUGGCAAAUUUCCUACUAGAAAUGGCUUCACGGACAAGGCUUACAGAAAGCAAGGCUGCCCAAGUGACAUCGGGUACUUUUCCACAGAAGUUUGUGAACACGAUAAAUAGUAGCGACGUAAAUACAUUCACAGGCCUGCCAUCAUUCGAUGUUCUGAAUGCUCGUGUGACGUGCUACACAAAAAUUCAUCCACUUUCAGGAUGGCACCAGUUAUGUGUAAAAACAAUUGCAUUGACAUUGGUGAAAUUGAAGCAUAUUUCCACUGCAUUCUUGAGUCACCUUUUUAACUGUUCUCUAACUACAUGUAGCAACAUAAUUGCAGAGACUGCUCAGUUGAUGUGUGAAAUUUUAAAAGUAACUGUGGCUGUGCCACCAAAAGAUGAAUUCCAGUGGCGCGUUUGCAUAUUCGGCAUUAGGUGAUUCACCUGAAGUCGUGCCAUGGCUGGCGAUAUUGCAAGUAGCCUGUAUUGCAUAGAGGCAUUUGUGCGUGUGACCUUGGCUCCAUCAAAGCGUGGCGGCCUUGAGAGUAAGUGCAGUCUUCCGUUUGGAAAUCCAGCAUUUUUUAUGCCACUCAGCCACUUCAUACUUUUCAGACACGGUCGUUGCCAUGUGAUCUACAUGCUGCACUUGUUUGCAUUGGCCAAACCUGCAGACUUCAACUUCAACACACUUUUUGUAAAUUAGCAAUGCACAUUCUUUUGCAACUUGUAUUCUUCAUUGAAGUGCUGAUUUACACUACGCAUUCUGAUGCAAGUUUUCAUCUUAUGGUAUUCCGAGAUAUUUGCAGUUCACUUAUGAUCUGUGUGCAUAGAGUUGUGGUUAUUCUUCAAUGGCGGUUUGUUGUCCCUUUCCUUACUUGUAUUUUUUCACAAAAUAAACCACAUGCACUCAA